This 825-nucleotide ribosomal RNA is filed under the name uncultured archaeon. RNAcentral's name for it is "bacterial SSU rRNA". It matches the Rfam family "Archaeal small subunit ribosomal RNA", at positions 68 to 881 of the family's 1478-position model. The record is from RNAcentral.
CAAACAAGGCGCGGCAUACAGCUCAGUAACCCCUUUUUUAUCUGCCCUUGGGACAAAAACAACCCCGGGAAACUGGUUUUUAUUUUUGACAGAAGAAGAACUCCGGAGAGAGUCUUCGUUUAAAAAACUUCACGUUAUGUUCGAGAUGUUGCCUUUGGAGAAGGCCCCGCCCCAUCAGGUUGGUGGGGAGGUAAGGGCCCACCAAGCCUUUUACCGGUGCGGGCCGGAAGAGCGGGAGCCCGAAGAUGGUCACUAAAACAAGGGCCCAGGCCCUACGGGGGGCAACAUUCGCAAAAACUUUGCUAUACACGAAAGUGUGAGGGGGCUAUCCCAAGUGCCUUCCGCUGAGGAGGGCUUUUACCUAGUAUAGAUCGCUAGGGGAAUAAGGAGAGGGCAAGUCUGGUGUCAGCCGCCGCGGUAAUACCAGCUCUCCGAGGGGUGUGAAUGUUUAUUGGGCCUAAAGCAUCCGUCAGGGGCUAAGUUAGUCCCUUGAUAAAACCAAAGAAUUAAACGGUGGAUAGCGGGGCAUACUGCUUGGCUAGGGGACAAAACAAGAAAACGGUACUUUCGGGGAAGGGGUGAAAUCCUAUAAUCCCGGCAAAGACCCACCAGUCGAAGAAGGGUUCCUGCUACAACCCACCCGACGGUGAGGGAAUAAAGGUGGGGUAACUAAACCGAUUAGAUCCCCGGGUAUUCCCAGCCGUAAACGAUGCAGGGUAGGGGGUUGGACGGGUUCGUGCCAUUUUAUUGUCCCAGCAAACUGUUAAGCCUACCCUGGGGGAAUACCAUCGCCUAUUGAAACUUCAAGGAAAUGCCGCAUCCCUG